This is a long non-coding RNA of Mesocricetus auratus (golden hamster), 2283 nucleotides long. RefSeq lists it as uncharacterized. Lineage: Eukaryota; Metazoa; Chordata; Mammalia; Rodentia; Cricetidae. The transcript has 3 exons. The record is from RefSeq and is a predicted model, not a curated record.
GUCUUCAAAUUGUUGUUCUCAUUGCUUGGUCCCUGAUACCUACAUUAAGAAUAAAGGGUAUGGAAGAAGACCUUCACUACCUAAGUACAGCAAUAAUGUGAGAAAGAGCUCCUGAUUAAGAACUGUGGCUGCUGUUCAUCUUUAAUUCCUUGCUGACUCCCCAAGUGCUGUCUAGGAUGCCUCAGAUUCUUUUCAUAAAACCAUUAGGCACCAUCAGUCCUAAAUGAUUCCCAGUUGACCCUGGUGAAACUUCUCAGUAGACCCAGUUCCAUUACUUGAGUGACAGUUAAGUAGAAAGAAGGCACUCAACUUGCAAAGCAAAUCCAUGGUUCUAUCAACUCAAACUAUGAAGAUGAGGUCUUGCAGACUUGUCAAGGGUUCUAUGAUUUCUGCAGGUGAGUGUAUGUUCCGUCUACCUAUGUACUUGGCUUCCACCUUAAAGUAGAGGAGAGAACUACUUGAUUGAUUCAAAUAGAAGGUUCUGGUUAUAACUCACAGAGCUACAAAAAAUGAUGUGACUUCCUAGGCUCAUGAGCCUGGCUGACCUUAAGAAGUCAGCACAGAUUCUCCCUGUGAGAAGAGAUGACAAUGUCUCCACCAGGCAAUGCUGGGUGCGUUCCUUCAUGCUCUUUUUGAAAAUGUGUGUUGUGAUUGUGUGUGACACAAUUUACUUAUUAUUAUGGCAGUAGGAGUUGCGUGUGAUUGAAAGCCAUCAAAAGGCACAGCGUUUGAAUGUCAAACAUGGCUUGUCUUUAAUUCCAGACAAUCUGGCUGUCUGUUCUUCCCCAUCCACACUGGUUCCCUGCUUUCCACAGAGUGGCACGGGUUUUUCCUUUUCCUUUGCAUUUUUCUGUUCAGGUCAACAUAUCUGAACAUUUGGAGAGCCGGAAUGGAAGCCAGUUUAAAGCUGUGUUGUGAAUUUCUGCUUAAAUAGGUUGGGUAGGAGAGCAGCAAUUAAAUUUUAUAAGAAAAAAAUCUUUCAUGAAGCUUACUCUUUUCUGUAUUUAACUCUUUCCCACUUUUUCUUUCCAACUUCAUUAGCCUCCAAAUAAGCACAGCAUAUUAUGGAUGUCGAAGGAAGUUUUAUUUAGACUUAUAAGGGCUGAUCUAUUCCCAUACUGUUUAAAUUAAUGUUCAAAAAAGAAUUCAAACCACAUUCUAACAUUUGGACUAUGUAAGAAGGAAACAGAUUUUUUGGGGAAAAAAAAGAUGUUGCUUUAGCUAAGCAGAAUGAGCUGCUGGAGCACAGACAUGCGCAGUCUGAGUUUCUAAAUGCGUGUAUUAUCUGUUAAGAUCAAUUCACAGAGUAAGUGAGCCCCCAAACACUUCCUUCUUGUCUGUCCCCCUUCCUCCCUCCCCCCUCUUUCAGCCCCUGUCCUUUAUUCUUUAUUUUCUUGCCUGCUCUUCUCCCUUUCUACCUUCUCCCUUUCUACUAGCAUAUGGACUUUUACUUUUAUCUCAGACACCUGCAGCCUGAGGCUUGGAAACAUUUGGGGUUUUCACCUAACCAGUUUCUUUUCCGACCAAAUUAGCUCCAGAAAUGCAGGGUGACUUUGAAAGCAAGAAUCUCUUGAAAUAGAAUGGCCUCAAUUUCCAUCAGUUACGUUCGGAGAAUUAAGUUCCAAUACCUUCCUCAAACCCUGCACUCUGUCCACACAUGGGACGCUUUGUUAGGUAAGCAUCCACACAUGCAACAUAUUCCCUGUCAGAAAACAGGUAGGGAAGAGAAACAAACUUACUGAUUUUGUGUUUUCAAUGCAACUGAUUCUCCCCUCCCCCCAGUUUCGCAAGUGCAAACACUGAAGAGUUAAAGAAGCAUAGGUGUGACUUCAGAAAGGGCUGAAAGGCCAAAAUUCUGUGUGUGUGUGUGUGUGUGUGUGUGUGUGCGCGCGCGCGCGCGUGCUCACACGUGCUGCAAGAGUGAAUUACAUUCAAUUACUCAGCCUUUAGCAGCAGUUACUUACUUUGGUGUGUUGGCUUCUAUUUGUGGCACGUAUGGUAAUGUAUUUUUCUCAUAAAUGAAGUGUAGUUUUAAUGAGAAAAAGAAAAGAUAUUAGUGAGCCAGAAAAAUGUCAAAGUCCACCUUCUAGAAAAUAUACCACCUUCGAGACAGAAGCUGCAACCUGUCUUCCUUGUUCUAAAUAUUGUAUUGCUUGCCUUUGAAAAUAGCUAACGUCAUUGAGGAGGACGCUUUUAGACUUCUUCAAACUGAUGGACUACAGAGAGUCAGGAGCAGCGAGCCAGCCUAUUCCCAUGUCCUGGCCUUACAAGGGGGCGGGGUUG